Molecule: ribosomal RNA, 253 nt
Filed under: uncultured bacterium
Lineage: Bacteria
Description: partial 16S ribosomal RNA
Rfam family: Bacterial small subunit ribosomal RNA
Source: RNAcentral
UACGUAGGGGGCUAGCGUUGUCCGGAAUCAUUGGGCGUAAAGCGCGUGUAGGCGGCCCGGUAAGUCCGCUGUAAAAGUCGGGGGCUCAACCCUCGGAUGCCGGUGGAUACUGUCGGGCUUGAGUACGGAAGAGGCGAGUGGAAUUCCUGGUGUAGCGGUGAAAUGCGCAGAUAUCAGGAGGAACACCAAUUGCGAAGGCAGCUCGCUGGGACGUUACUGGCGCUGAGACGCGGAAGCGUGGGGAGCAAACAGG